CCCUUAGAUGUCCUGGGCCGCACGCGCGCUACACUGAACGGAUCAGCGCGUUUUCCCUUCCCGAGAGGGACGGGUAACCUGCUGAACCCCGUUCGUGGUAGGGAUCGGGGCUUGCAAUUAUUCCCCGUGAACCAGGAAUGCCCAGUAAGUGCAAGUCAUCAGCUUGCAUUGAUUACGUCCCUGCCCUUUGUACACACCGCCCGUCGCACCUACCGAUUGAAUGGUCCGGUGAAAUCUCGGGACGGCGGCUUGGUCGCUUGCGUCCGACUGCUGAAACUUGAUUAAACCAUAUCAUUUAGAGGAAGGUGAAGUCGUAACA
RNAcentral lists this ribosomal RNA (319 nucleotides) under uncultured eukaryote. RNAcentral's name for it is "partial 18S ribosomal RNA". It matches the Rfam family "Eukaryotic small subunit ribosomal RNA", at positions 1470 to 1796 of the family's 1831-position model. The record is from RNAcentral.